This is a long non-coding RNA of Phyllostomus discolor (pale spear-nosed bat), 476 nucleotides long. RefSeq lists it as uncharacterized. NCBI's taxonomy places the organism in Eukaryota, Metazoa, Chordata, Mammalia, Chiroptera, Phyllostomidae. The record is from RefSeq and is a predicted model, not a curated record. The transcript has 2 exons.
CCAGGCAUGUGUCCUUACCAAGAAUUGAGCUGGUGACCUUUUGGACUGCAGGAUGAUUCCCAACCAAGGUACGCCCACCGGGGCGCACUGUUUAUUUUAACAAUUACUUGAUCUUAAAAACAUUCUGUUAGAUAUAAAAUGGUUCAUAACAAUAGAGCUCAUCUUCAGAGAUUGGCCUCUAAACUGUUAAUAGUAGUAUCUGUACACAAACCAAUUAAAAAGCUGGUCAAGGACAUUGACUCUUCAGAACUAAAACUCCUAAGGCCAACCUCUGCAGUAGGACUUUACCAUCUAGACGAAUCCAAAUAACCCAUCUCCAUGGCUGAUGAGGAUGUCUACAUAGGUCCAUUUGGAGAGUUAUCAAAGAGAAAACCACAGAUACACAUCCCUCAACUAACUGUAAAGCCUGUCCCGACAAACCUCUCCAUGUCAAAUAUUCAAAGCCAGGAGCCCAAUGAUCCCAACUACAGCCAAAA